RNAcentral lists this small nucleolar RNA (153 nucleotides) under Olea europaea subsp. europaea. Lineage: Eukaryota; Viridiplantae; Streptophyta; Magnoliopsida; Lamiales; Oleaceae. The record is from RNAcentral.
AUUGCCUCUUGAAUAACUGAAGUGGUGGUGCGACCUGCACACAUACCCUUCGGUUCAGACGGAGGCACAAAUAGAGAUUGAAACACAAACAAUUUAGGAUAAGGAAAGCUCUUUUUAUAUUCCUGUUCCUUUCCUAGUUGACUUCAAACAUUU